Phragmites australis (common reed) is the source of this 565-nucleotide long non-coding RNA. RefSeq lists it as uncharacterized. The record is from RefSeq and is a predicted model, not a curated record. Lineage: Eukaryota; Viridiplantae; Streptophyta; Magnoliopsida; Poales; Poaceae. The transcript is spliced from 3 exons.
AUCAAGAAUCUAAUAUAAGUAUUCAUGUAGCGAUCACUAUAUUUGUAUAAUGCUGAUGCCGAAGUCGAGCAGACUCAUGGUCCUUGACUCUGCCGAUUUCCAACAAAAAUCCUACCAAGAUUUCAUUGACGUUAUACAGAGGUAAAGAAAAUCCCCCAUACUUAAAAUUCUUAUACAUUAUUUAUGAAUUGACAAUUACUUGUUGGCAUUCGAAUAGGGACUAAAAGUGGUACGUAACGAAAGGUGGGAUACACAAUACGGACAAGCCGGAUGCGAUGACGGUCCGUACACAUUUUCCGUGCCACAAGCAAGGUUUCAAUACCGUUCUUUGUGGAUACUAUGUUUGCGAAUUUCUUAGGAUAAACGGGAGGUACACAACGAACCCUGAGGACGCAAGGAUGAUCCAAUGUGCCAACCAAGCUCUCACCGACAAAGAAAUCCAAAACGUCCAAUGUGACAUGUGCCGGUUUAUUAUGCACGAAGUCAUCCACAAGAACGGUAGAUUCUUUGAUCGCGGAGGCGAAUUAGCUAGCCAUCCGAGACUUUGUGUUUGGGAGAGCGACUC